RNAcentral lists this ribosomal RNA (401 nucleotides) under uncultured bacterium. Its description in RNAcentral is "bacterial SSU rRNA". It matches the Rfam family "Bacterial small subunit ribosomal RNA", at positions 29 to 416 of the family's 1533-position model. The record is from RNAcentral.
AACGAACGUUGGCGGCGUGGAUGAGGCAUGCAAGUCGAACGCGAAAGCCGCAAGGUGAGUAGAGUGGCGGACGGGCGAGUAACACGUAAUCAAGCUACCUGCGAGACGGGGAUAACCUCGGGAAACCGAAGCUAAAACCCGAUGGUUUGCGCGGACCGCAUGGUCCAUGCAAUAAAUGGGCGGGAUCCUCCGGGACCGCCUGCUCGCAGAGGUGAUUGCGGCCCAUCAGCUAGUUGGUAGGGUAACGGCCUACCAAGGCAACGACGGGUAGCCGGCCUUAGAGGGUGGUCGGCCGCACUGGGACUGAGACACUGCCCAGACUCCUACGGGAGGCUGCAGUCGAGAAUCUUCCGCAAUGGGCGAAAGCCUGACGGAGCGACGCCGCGUGGAGGACGAAGGCC